RNAcentral lists this ribosomal RNA (244 nucleotides) under fungal sp. Its description in RNAcentral is "partial 28S ribosomal RNA". It matches the Rfam family "Eukaryotic large subunit ribosomal RNA", at positions 279 to 530 of the family's 3401-position model. The record is from RNAcentral. Lineage: Eukaryota; Fungi.
AAUGCUGCUCUAAAUGGGAGGUAUAUGUCUUCUAAAGCUAAAUACCGGCCAGAGACCGAUAGCGCACAAGUAGAGUGAUCGAAAGAUGAAAAGCACUUUGAAAAGAGAGUUAAAAAGUACGUGAAAUUGUUGAAAGGGAAGCGUUUAUGACCAGACUUGGGCUUGGUUGAUCAUCUGGGGUUCUCCCCAGUGCACUCUUCCAGUCCAGGCCAGCAUCAGUUUUCGCCGGGGGAUAAAGACUUCG